Entelurus aequoreus (snake pipefish) is the source of this 999-nucleotide long non-coding RNA. RefSeq lists it as uncharacterized. NCBI's taxonomy places the organism in Eukaryota, Metazoa, Chordata, Actinopteri, Syngnathiformes, Syngnathidae. The record is from RefSeq and is a predicted model, not a curated record. The transcript has 4 exons.
CUCAGAUCUUCUCAGUUUCUAGCCGAUACUACAUAAAAAAUCAUGUAGUAACGGUAACUGAGUUACUGAAUAUAAAAAAUAACGCGUUAGAUUACUAUUUACCGCCGAUAGUAACGGCGUUACCGUAACACGCGUUAGUCCCAACACUGAUGCCAAGCAUCAUAUUUGGAGGAAACCAGGCACUGCUCCUCAUCAAUACCAUUCCUACAGUGAAGCAUUGUGGUGGCAGCAUCAUGCUGUGGGGAUGUUUUUUAGCUGCAGGAACUGGCAGACUAGUCAGGAUAGAGGAAAAGAUGAUUGCAGCAAUGUACAGAGACAUCCUGGAUGAAAUCCUGCUUCAGAGUGCUCUUGAAGACUGGAGCGACGGUUCAUCUUUCAGCAGGACAACGACCCUAAGUACACAGCCAAGAAAUCAAAGGAAUGGCUUCAGAACAACUCUGUAAAUGUCCUUGAGCCAGAGCCCAGACUUGAAUUUGAUUCUCCAGCACCCCUGCGACCCCGGACGGGGCAAGCGGUAGAAAAUGGAUGGAUGGAUCUCUGGAGAGAUCUGAAAAUGGCUGUGCACCGACGCUUCCCAUCCAACCUGAUGGCGCUUGAGAGGUGUUGCAAAGCGGAAUAGACAUAACUGCCCGACGAUAGGUGUGCCAAGCUUGUGGCAUCGUAUUCAAAAAGACUCGAGUGCCUGGAAUUCGCAUGGCUGCGGUUGUUGUGACCCCAAGAUGCAGGAACCAGGAGAUCAAUGUUCAGAUUGAUCAUUUUUUUCAAGCUUCAUGUGGCAGCCUCCUAAUGUUAAGCGUUACCAAGCUCCUUGUGGCAGCCUAGUGAUUGAUUAGGAUUGUGGCAGUGUAAAGAAUGCAGUUUGGAACUAGCGAGCAGAGCCAGUUGAGUACACACUAGAUGACCAGUGGAAUAAGGCCAAGGCAAAGCUGCAGCCAACUUCAAGAAAACGACAAAGGCUGAAGUUUACUACAUACCACUGCACCCAAAAGGCAAAACCAC